Molecule: ribosomal RNA, 529 nt
Filed under: Scenopinus electus
Lineage: Eukaryota; Metazoa; Arthropoda; Insecta; Diptera; Scenopinidae
Description: partial 16S ribosomal RNA
Rfam family: Bacterial large subunit ribosomal RNA
Source: RNAcentral
CAAAAACAUGUCCUUUAGAUAAUUAUUUAAGGUCUAACCUGCCCACUGAUAUAUAAUUGAAUGGCCGCAGUAUUUUAACUGUGCAAAGGUAGCAUAAUCAUUAGUCUUUUAAUUGAAGGCUAGAAUGAAUGGUUGGACGAAGUGUAAGCUGUCUCAUGAAAAUUUAUUUUAGAAUUUUAUUUUUCAGUAAAAAAGCUGAAAUAUAAUUUAAAGACGAGAAGACCCUAUAGAUUUUUAUAGAUUUUAUUAAUAAAGAUAUUUAGAAUUUUAAAUUUUUAUUUUUAUAUUCUAUUUUGUUGGGGUGACAUUAAAAUUUUAUAAACUUUUAUUAUUUAUUUACAUUUAUUUAUGAAUAAUUGAUCCAUUAGUAGUGAUUAUAAGUUUAAAUUACCUUAGGGAUAACAGCGUAAUUUUCUUGGAGAGUUCAUAUCGAUAAGGAAGAUUGCGACCUCGAUGUUGGAUUAAAUUUAAAAUUGGGUGUAGAAGUUCAAUUUUUAAGUCUGUUCGACUUUUAAUUUUUACAUGAACU